AAAUUGAAGAGUUUGAUCAUGGCUCAGAUUGAACGCUGGCGGCAGGCCUAACACAUGCAAGUCGAGCGGUAGCACAGAGAGCUUGCUCUCGGGUGACGAGCGGCGGACGGGUGAGUAAUGUCUGGGAAACUGCCUGAUGGAGGGGGAUAACUACUGGAAACGGUAGCUAAUACCGCAUAAUGUCGCAAGACCAAAGUGGGGGACCUUCGGGCCUCAUGCCAUCAGAUGUGCCCAGAUGGGAUUAGCUAGUAGGUGGGGUAACGGCUCACCUAGGCGACGAUCCCUAGCUGGUCUGAGAGGAUGACCAGCCACACUGGAACUGAGACACGGUCCAGACUCCUACGGGAGGCAGCAGUGGGGAAUAUUGCACAAUGGGCGCAAGCCUGAUGCAGCCAUGCCGCGUGUGUGAAGAAGGCCUUCGGGUUGUAAAGCACUUUCAGCGGGGAGGAAGGCGUUAAGGUUAAUAACCUCAUCGAUUGACGUUACCCGCAGAAGAAGCACCGGCUAACUCCGUGCCAGCAGCCGCGGUAAUACGGAGGGUGCAAGCGUUAAUCGGAAUUACUGGGCGUAAAGCGCACGCAGGCGGUCUGUCAAGUCGGAUGUGAAAUCCCCGGGCUCAACCUGGGAACUGCAUUCGAAACUGGCAGGCUAGAGUCUUGUAGAGGGGGGUAGAAUUCCAGGUGUAGCGGUGAAAUGCGUAGAGAUCUGGAGGAAUACCGGUGGCGAAGGCGGCCCCCUGGACAAAGACUGACGCUCAGGUGCGAAAGCGUGGGGAGCAAACAGGAUUAGAUACCCUGGUAGUCCACGCCGUAAACGAUGUCGAUUUGGAGGUUGUGCCCUUGAGGCGUGGCUUCCGGAGCUAACGCGUUAAAUCGACCGCCUGGGGAGUACGGCCGCAAGGUUAAAACUCAAAUGAAUUGACGGGGGCCCGCACAAGCGGUGGAGCAUGUGGUUUAAUUCGAUGCAACGCGAAGAACCUUACCUGGUCUUGACAUCCACAGAACUUUCCAGAGAUGGAUUGGUGCCUUCGGGAACUGUGAGACAGGUGCUGCAUGGCUGUCGUCAGCUCGUGUUGUGAAAUGUUGGGUUAAGUCCCGCAACGAGCGCAACCCUUAUCCUUUGUUGCCAGCGGUUCGGCCGGGAACUCAAAGGAGACUGCCAGUGAUAAACUGGAGGAAGGUGGGGAUGACGUCAAGUCAUCAUGGCCCUUACGACCAGGGCUACACACGUGCUACAAUGGCAUAUACAAAGAGAAGCGACCUCGCGAGAGCAAGCGGACCUCAUAAAGUAUGUCGUAGUCCGGAUUGGAGUCUGCAACUCGACUCCAUGAAGUCGGAAUCGCUAGUAAUCGUAGAUCAGAAUGCUACGGUGAAUACGUUCCCGGGCCUUGUACACACCGCCCGUCACACCAUGGGAGUGGGUUGCAAAAGAAGUAGGUAGCUUAACCUUCGGGAGGGCGCUUACCACUUUGUGAUUCAUGACUGGGGUGAAGUCGUAACAAGGUAACCGUAGGGGAACCUGCGGUUGGAUCACCUCCUUA
RNAcentral lists this ribosomal RNA (1540 nucleotides) under Klebsiella pneumoniae. Its description in RNAcentral is "bacterial SSU rRNA". It matches the Rfam family "Bacterial small subunit ribosomal RNA". Lineage: Bacteria; Pseudomonadati; Pseudomonadota; Gammaproteobacteria; Enterobacterales; Enterobacteriaceae. The record is from RNAcentral.